Molecule: long non-coding RNA, 547 nt
Organism: Poecilia reticulata (guppy)
Lineage: Eukaryota; Metazoa; Chordata; Actinopteri; Cyprinodontiformes; Poeciliidae
Source: RefSeq, a predicted model, not a curated record
CCUCUUACCUACUCAUGCUCACACUUAAUUCAGAGGUAACUUGACUCAGAAUUGAGAUACCCAGUUUAUAACUUCUUUUCUGAAACCCAAAACCCUGAAUAUCACAGAGCCAGCUCUUUCAUUCUCUGUCUGCUAGGAAGCAGAGAGACGUUGGAGUCGGGGAUAUAAUCCUGCAGCCAUGUCUCAGUAAAACUUAUUAUACUGCGUUCCAUAUAGCAUUGUUGAGUCCUUGUCAAGGCUUGAAGUUCUUCCAGCUUGUUGGCUAACGAUUUCACAUUGCGCAUUAUGAUGGAUGGAAGAGAUGGUUUGAACUUCCUCCUCGUCCUCCUUGGUGCCUCCUUCUCAACUCCUCUGCGAUUUCUGACUUCAGUUGUGGUAUUAUUUCAGCUUUUGCAUUGUUAAUCAGCUGCUCCCUGCUGUAAACCACCCUGUUUCUAUGGUUAUGCAUCAUAACAAAGAAGCAAAGUAUAAAAAGUUUGGGGAAAAAUCAGUCCAGCUACAGCAUCCAAAACAAGAAGGAAAAGUUGACAAAAAAAAAAAAAAAAAA